CCUCUCAUAGUUUAGUGGUAGAGCAAUGGUUUGUAAAGCCAGAGACCCAGGUUCGAUUCUCGGCGAGGA
RNAcentral lists this transfer RNA (69 nucleotides) under Agrilus planipennis (emerald ash borer). It matches the Rfam family "tRNA". Rfam says of the family: Transfer RNA (tRNA) molecules are approximately 80 nucleotides in length. Lineage: Eukaryota; Metazoa; Arthropoda; Insecta; Coleoptera; Buprestidae. The record is from Rfam by way of RNAcentral.